RNAcentral lists this ribosomal RNA (481 nucleotides) under uncultured bacterium. Its description in RNAcentral is "partial 16S ribosomal RNA". It matches the Rfam family "Bacterial small subunit ribosomal RNA", at positions 28 to 507 of the family's 1533-position model. The record is from RNAcentral.
GAUGAACGCUGGCGGCGUGCUUAACACAUGCAAGUCGAACGAAGCACUUUAUUUGAUUUCCUUCGGGACUGAUUAUUUUGUGACUGGGUGGCGGACGGGUGAGUAACGCGUGGGUAACCUGCCUUGUACAGGGGGAUAACAGUUGGAAACGGCUGCUAAUACCGCAUAAGCGCACGGCAUCGCAUGAUGCAGUGUGAAAAACUCCGGUGGUAUAAGAUGGACCCGCGUUGGAUUAGCUAGUUGGUGAGGUAACGGCCCACCAAGGCGACGAUCCAUAGCCGACCUGAGAGGGUGACCGGCCACAUUGGGACUGAGACACGGCCCAAACUCCUACGGGAGGCAGCAGUGGGGAAUAUUGCACAAUGGGCGAAAGCCUGAUGCAGCGACGCCGCGUGAGCGAAGAAGUAUUUCGGUAUGUAAAGCUCUAUCAGCAGGGAAGAUAAUGACGGUACCUGACUAAGAAGCACCGGCUAAAUACGUG